GCGAGUAUGGCCCUCACGGGUCUAAUCCACCAUAAACACCCUUUGUGAACCAGUCAGGGGGACUCGGCCGUGAAAGCCCAGGCGAUUAGCGGAAGGGCCCUCCUUUGCAAACCCGUUUAGAAGUCUUGAAAGUACUUUUGUAUAAUCUAGUA
RNAcentral lists this unclassified non-coding RNA (152 nucleotides) under soil metagenome. RNAcentral describes it as "partial internal transcribed spacer 1". The record is from RNAcentral.